Molecule: ribosomal RNA, 608 nt
Filed under: uncultured bacterium
Lineage: Bacteria
Description: bacterial SSU rRNA
Rfam family: Bacterial small subunit ribosomal RNA
Source: RNAcentral
GAAACGCGUGGGAACGUACCCCAAAGUUCGGAAUAACUAUUGGAAACGAUAGCUAAUACCGGAUGUGACCGAGAGGUUAAAGGUUUACCGCUUUGGGAGCGGCCCGCGUUAGAUUAGCUAGUUGGUAGGGUAAAGGCCUACCAAGGCAAUGAUCUAUAGCUGGUCUGAGAGGAUGACCAGCCACACUGGGACUGAGACACGGCCCAGACUCCUACGGGAGGCAGCAGUGGGGAAUAUUGGACAAUGGGGGCAACCCUGAUCCAGCAAUGCCGCGUGAAUGAUGAAGGCCUUAGGGUUGUAAAGUUCUUUUAUUGAUGACGAUAAUGACGGUAAUCAAUGAAUAAGCACCGGCUAACUUCGCGCCAGCAGCCGCGGUAAUACGAAGGGUGCUAGCGUUGUUCGGAAUGACUGGGCGUAAAGGGUGCGUAGGCGGUAAGAUGCGUCUGAUGUGAAAUCCCUGGGCUUAACCUAGGAACUGCAUUGGAUACGGUCUUACUAGAGUCCGCGAGAGGAAGAUGGAAUUGUGCGUGUAGAGGUGAAAUUCGUAGAUAUGCACAAGAACACCGGUAGCGAAGGCGAUCUUCUGGAGCGGUACUGACGCUAAGGCA